UUGAGUUUGAUCCUGGCUCAGAACGAACGCUGGUGGCAGGCCUAACACAUGCAAGUCGAGCGGAUCCUUCGGGAUUAGCGGCGGACGGGUGAGUAACGCGUGGGAACAUACCCUUUGGUACGGAAUAGCCUCGGGAAACUGAGAGUAAUACCGUAUGUGCCCUUCGGGGGAAAGAUUUAUCGCCAAAGGAUUGGCCCGCGUUGGAUUAGGUAGUUGGUGGGGUAAUGGCCUACCAAGCCGACGAUCCAUAGCUGGUUUGAGAGGAUGAUCAGCCACACUGGGACUGAGACACGGCCCAGACUCCUACGGGAGGCAGCAGUGGGGAAUCUUAGACAAUGGGGGAAACCCUGAUCUAGCCAUGCCGCGUGAUCGAUGAAGGCCUUAGGGUUGUAAAGAUCUUUCAGUGGGGAAGAUAAUGACGGUACCCACAGAAGAAGCCCCGGCUAACUCCGUGCCAGCAGCCGCGGUAAAAUC
This 474-nucleotide ribosomal RNA is filed under the name uncultured bacterium. Its description in RNAcentral is "bacterial SSU rRNA". It matches the Rfam family "Bacterial small subunit ribosomal RNA", at positions 1 to 526 of the family's 1533-position model. The record is from RNAcentral.